Molecule: transfer RNA, 72 nt
Organism: Camelus ferus (Wild Bactrian camel)
Lineage: Eukaryota; Metazoa; Chordata; Mammalia; Artiodactyla; Camelidae
Rfam family: tRNA
About the family: Transfer RNA (tRNA) molecules are approximately 80 nucleotides in length. Their secondary structure includes four short double-helical elements and three loops (D, anti-codon, and T loops). Further hydrogen bonds mediate the characteristic L-shaped molecular structure. tRNAs have two regions of fundamental functional importance: the anti-codon, which is responsible for specific mRNA codon recognition, and the 3' end, to which the tRNAs corresponding amino acid is attached (by aminoacyl-tRNA synthetases). tRNAs cope with the degeneracy of the genetic code in two manners: having more than one tRNA (with a specific anti-codon) for a particular amino acid; and 'wobble' base-pairing, i.e. permitting non-standard base-pairing at the 3rd anti-codon position.
Source: Rfam
GAGGGUACAGCUCAGUGGUAGAGUGCGUGCCUAGCAUGCACAAGGUCCUAGGUUUAAUCCCUAGUGCCUCUG